GCACGCGGCGCAUCCAUCUAGGCUCGGGCAGCGCCCCGGCGCCGGACGCACGCGCCGGCUUUCGGGGUCGGCAAGCUGAGCAUGGUGUUAUUCGUGUAUCCCGUAGAUGCAUGUCUAUCUUGAUGUAGCAAGCUGUGUGAAGCGGCAAGUCACUUGAGGGCUGGAUCGUGUCUGUAGAUGCAAGCUUACUUGUUAGCUUUUUAAUCUUGAUGCAGCAUGCUAUGUGAAGCGGCA
RNAcentral lists this long non-coding RNA (234 nucleotides) under Hordeum vulgare. RNAcentral describes it as "long non-coding RNA (HVUL_LNC015039)". Lineage: Eukaryota; Viridiplantae; Streptophyta; Magnoliopsida; Poales; Poaceae. The record is from RNAcentral.